RNAcentral lists this ribosomal RNA (253 nucleotides) under uncultured bacterium. Its description in RNAcentral is "partial 16S ribosomal RNA". It matches the Rfam family "Bacterial small subunit ribosomal RNA", at positions 524 to 776 of the family's 1533-position model. The record is from RNAcentral.
UACAGAGGUCUCGAGCGUUAUGCGGAAUCACUGGGCUUAAAGCGUGUGUAGGUGGAUCGGUAAGUACCUUGUGAAAUCCCACGGCUUAACCGUGGAACUGCUUGGUAUACUGCCAGUCUUGAGCCAGCUAGGGGCUACCGGAACAAAUGGUGGAGCGGUGAAAUGCGUAGAUAUCAUUUGGAACGCCAAUGGUGAAAACAGGUAGCUGGGGCUGUGCUGACACUGAGACACGAAAGCCAGGGGAGCAAACGGG